AUGCCGCCGAUCCGAGACGAGCCGCCGCCGCCGAGGAACGAGACGAGCUGCCGGCGCCGAGGAACGAGACGAGCUAGGGUUCCAUACGCCGCCGCCGUCCCAACCACGAACGCCGACGCCGGCUGUAGCCGUCACGCCGCCAGCCAUCCAUGCCUCGUAGCCGUCGCAGCCGGUGCUUCCCCACCGAACGAGCGCCAAGGAGAAACACCGCUGUCUUUCUACAUGGUGGCCUCUCCCCUCGAUCCCCUCCAUCGCCUCCGCCGCCGCCGAGAGCAAGAGGGGUCAUCGAGGAUGGGUGCCGUCGUGAGGUUGCUGGUGCCCGUGUGCGGUGAUGGCAUUGUGGCGGAAGAAGGUCUUCUUCCUGGGGAGCCGCUACCAGCCUCCGUCUCCACCCGCGGCCACACUAAAAAGACAGAUCUCAAUACUUGCUUGCUAAUGUGCAUGUGUGGAUGUUGCUGGUUGCUGCUGCUGUGCACGUCUGCUUGGUGUGCCCCUGCUGUUUUGUGUUCUCACCACCACAUCCACGACAAAUAA
RNAcentral lists this ribosomal RNA (534 nucleotides) under Triticum aestivum (bread wheat). Its description in RNAcentral is "partial small subunit ribosomal RNA". The record is from RNAcentral. Lineage: Eukaryota; Viridiplantae; Streptophyta; Magnoliopsida; Poales; Poaceae.